UUCACAACAACAAUAAUAAUAAUAAUCAGAAAUUUAAAAGGUACGUGUCGUCAUGCCCAUAAAAAUGCUCGUAAAACACAUGAAUUAUUACAAUUGGUAAAUAUGCGAAAAUAUUCCCCCCCCCACUCCCA
Long non-coding RNA from Drosophila miranda, 131 nucleotides. RefSeq lists it as uncharacterized. The record is from RefSeq and is a predicted model, not a curated record. The transcript is spliced from 2 exons. Lineage: Eukaryota; Metazoa; Arthropoda; Insecta; Diptera; Drosophilidae.